RNAcentral lists this ribosomal RNA (497 nucleotides) under uncultured bacterium. RNAcentral describes it as "partial 16S ribosomal RNA". It matches the Rfam family "Bacterial small subunit ribosomal RNA", at positions 28 to 507 of the family's 1533-position model. The record is from RNAcentral.
GAUGAACGCUGGCGGCGUGCCUAAUACAUGCAAGUCGAGCGAACAGAUGAGGAGCUUGCUCCUCUGACGUUAGCGGCGGACGGGUGAGUAACACGUGGAUAACCUACCUAUAAGACUGGGAUAACUUCGGGAAACCGGAGCUAAUACCGGAUAAUAUAUUGAACCGCAUGGUUCAAUAGUGAAAGACGGUUUUGCUGUCACUUAUAGAUGGAUCCGCGCCGCAUUAGCUAGUUGGUAAGGUAACGGCUUACCAAGGCAACGAUGCGUAGCCGACCUGAGAGGGUGAUCGGCCACACUGGAACUGAGACACGGUCCAGACUCCUACGGGAGGCAGCAGUAGGGAAUCUUCCGCAAUGGGCGAAAGCUUGACGGAGCAACGCCGCGUGAGUGAUGAAGGUCUUCGGAUCGUAAAACUCUGUUAUUAGGGAAGAACAAAUGUGUAAGUAACUAUGCACGUCUUGAUGGUACCUAAUCAGAAAGCCACGGCUAACUACGUG